ACGUGUGUAGACAGACAGAUUAAUGUAGCAGUGCUGGGUUCCCAGUGGGUUGGUCACUGAGCAGCGGUAGAGGCCAGAGGUCUGCGCAGACACAUUGGCGAUGUGCACCGAGCCCGUCGUGUCACCUACAACAGAUACAGCUUUUCCCAGAUGACCUGUGGAGUAGGAAAGCCCUCUGCCACCACACAGGACAGUCGCACAUUGCCUCCAGCGUCGGUGUCCCCUUCCCACAGACACACAGGAAGAGACGGAGGUUACUUCGUUUCGCCAGUAGUUAGCGGUAACCGACUGUCUCUGUGAGUGAGUCAUUGAUUCAUUUAUUCAACCGAUUCGCUCAACACAACUGAUUCAUCCAGCCAGGAACACUAAGGCGCCACUGCAGUUGUGUCUUUGUUGGGACGUAUUUUUGUUGACGGAGCGACAACACGUGCAAUGCUGUGUCUCAAAUAAUGCUUCGACUGGAAAGCAAGACCAAAAUCCUGAGGAAGAACAACAUUUUUUGCAGUGUGAUCAGAAGCCUAAUAUUAACAAUGAAAUCAACACGAACCAUAUUGAAGAAGAGUGGACGCUAAGCAGGCCAGCCAGAGGAGCCUCCAUCCUGUACAGCCCAUCACUGAGAGGAUCUGUGUGUGUGCUUUCCUCCAUACAGGAAGAUGGUCGGGACUGAAGACAGGCAAUGUCAGCAUGGCCUCAGCAAUGGGAAACUGAUGAGUAACUGUAGAUCCGUUGAUGUAUUGUAGAAUUCGCCCGGCCACAUCCACAAAGUCACCAGAGGAAGCUGAAGAGAUACAAGAACAAAGCCUAUAGACAAAUCGCCAAUACAAUACAUCUCAACAGGCACAGGAAAGAGAAAUGCUGCAUAUCCACAUUGAG
This is a long non-coding RNA of Onychostoma macrolepis, 873 nucleotides long. RefSeq lists it as uncharacterized. Lineage: Eukaryota; Metazoa; Chordata; Actinopteri; Cypriniformes; Cyprinidae. The record is from RefSeq and is a predicted model, not a curated record. The transcript is spliced from 7 exons.